RNAcentral lists this transfer RNA (75 nucleotides) under Candidatus Woesearchaeota archaeon. RNAcentral's name for it is "tRNA-Arg". It matches the Rfam family "tRNA". Rfam says of the family: Transfer RNA (tRNA) molecules are approximately 80 nucleotides in length. Their secondary structure includes four short double-helical elements and three loops (D, anti-codon, and T loops). Lineage: Archaea; Nanobdellati; Candidatus Woesearchaeota. The record is from RNAcentral.
GCACCUGUAGCUCAGCUUGGAUAGAGCGAUUGCCUCCUAAGCAAUAGGUCCGGGGUUCAAAUCCUCGCAGGUGCG